UACAGAGACGGCAAGCGUUGUUCGGAUUCAUUGGGCGUAAAGGGUUCGCAGGCGGCGAAGCAAGUCUGAUGUGAAAUCCCGCGGCUUAACCGCGGAACUGCAUCGGAAACUGCUUUGCUUGAGGAUGGUAGAGGAGACUGGAAUUCUCGGUGUAGCGGUGAAAUGCGUAGAUAUCGAGAGGAACACCGGUGGCGAAGGCGGGUCUCUGGGCCAUUCCUGACGCUCAGGAACGAAAGCGUGGGGAGCAAACGGG
RNAcentral lists this ribosomal RNA (253 nucleotides) under uncultured bacterium. RNAcentral's name for it is "partial 16S ribosomal RNA". It matches the Rfam family "Bacterial small subunit ribosomal RNA", at positions 524 to 776 of the family's 1533-position model. The record is from RNAcentral.